UACGGGGGGAGCAAGCGUUGUUCGGAUUUACUGGGCGUAAAGGGCGCGUAGGCGGCCACGACAAGUCACUUGUGAAAUCUCCGGGCUUAACUCGGAAAGGUCAAGUGAUACUGUCGGGCUAGAGUACAGAAGGGGCAACUGGAAUUCUCGGUGUAGCGGUGAAAUGCGUAGAUAUCGAGAGGAACACCUGCGGCGAAGGCGGGUUGCUGGGCUGAUACUGACGCUGAUGCGCGAAAGCGUGGGGAGCAAACAGG
Molecule: ribosomal RNA, 254 nt
Filed under: uncultured bacterium
Lineage: Bacteria
Description: partial 16S ribosomal RNA
Rfam family: Bacterial small subunit ribosomal RNA
Source: RNAcentral